This 492-nucleotide ribosomal RNA is filed under the name uncultured bacterium. RNAcentral's name for it is "partial 16S ribosomal RNA". It matches the Rfam family "Bacterial small subunit ribosomal RNA", at positions 29 to 507 of the family's 1533-position model. The record is from RNAcentral.
AGUGAACGCUGGCGGUAGGCCUAACACAUGCAAGUCGAACGGCAGCACAGUAAGAGCUUGCUCUUACGGGUGGCGAGUGGCGGACGGGUGAGGAAUACAUCGGAAUCUACUUUUUCGUGGGGGAUAACGUAGGGAAACCUACGCUAAUACCGCAUACGACCUACGGGUGAAAGCAGGGGAUCUUCGGACCUUGCGCGAUUGAAUGAGCCGAUGUCGGAUUAGCUAGUUGGCGGGGUAAAGGCCCACCAAGGCGACGAUCCGUAGCUGGUCUGAGAGGAUGAUCGGCCACACUGGAACUGAGACACGGUCCAGACUCCUACGGGAGGCAGCAGUGGGGAAUAUGGGACAAUGGGCGCAAGCCUGAUCCAGCCAUACCGCGUGGGUGAAGAAGGCCUUCGGGUUGUAAAGCCCUUUUGUUGGGAAAGAAAAGCAGCAGGUUAAUACCCCGCGGUUCUGACGGUACCCAAAGAAUAAGCACCGGCUAACUUCGUG